AUGUCCAGCCCUUCUAAUCUAUUUAUUCAAAGAGGAGAAGACUCAUCCCAGGGGGCUGUCAGAGCAGGGCAAGGAGACAUGGUACGUGAAUGGAGCAGGUGGAAGAAGAUAAAAGUUGUUCCAAUCAAGUCAUUGGAGACACCAGUUGGAUCAGAGCAGUGACUAUCUGAGAUACUGAUUCCAAAAAAGGAAGGGCACAGGUUUGGGUCUUUACAGACGAGCACAGCGGUUUAAAAAGAAAGUGUACGCUUCCUGAUGCAUUGGUCAACUCCACUUCCGUUCCUUGUGCAAACUCCUCAGCAUUUUCUGACAGCAACCAUCUUCUAUGGAUGGGUAUCUCCCUUUGGAUCUGGAAACAAUGAGAGGACCUGUGAA
Molecule: long non-coding RNA, 375 nt
Filed under: Callithrix jacchus (white-tufted-ear marmoset)
Lineage: Eukaryota; Metazoa; Chordata; Mammalia; Primates; Cebidae
Description: lncRNA (ENSCJAG00000051973.2)
Source: RNAcentral